AACGAACGUUAGCGGCGCGCUUAACACAUGCAAGUCGAGCGAGAAAGGGGCAACCCCGGUAAAGCGGCGCACGGGUGAGUAACACGUAGGUAAUCUACCCUCGGGUGGAGGAUAACUUUCCGAAAGGAAGGCUAAUACUGCAUGAGACCACGACCUCGAAAGGGGAUGGGGUCAAAGCCGGCCUCUGUACACAAGCUGGCGCCUGAGGAUGAGCCUGCGGCCCAUCAGCUAGUUGGUAGGGUAAUGGCCUACCAAGGCGAAGACGGGUAGCUGGUCUGAGAGGAUGAUCAGUCACACUGGAACUGAGACACGGUCCAGACUCCUACGGGAGGCAGCAGUGGGGAAUCUUGCGCAAUGGGCGAAAGCCUGACGCAGCGACGCCGCGUGAGUGAUGAAGGCCUCGGUUGUAAGACGUCUGUGGUAGAGGGACGGAAGUAAGUAGUUGGUCGUAAC
This 453-nucleotide ribosomal RNA is filed under the name uncultured bacterium. RNAcentral's name for it is "bacterial SSU rRNA". It matches the Rfam family "Bacterial small subunit ribosomal RNA", at positions 29 to 478 of the family's 1533-position model. The record is from RNAcentral.